RNAcentral lists this transfer RNA (82 nucleotides) under Spirochaetota bacterium. It matches the Rfam family "tRNA". Rfam says of the family: Transfer RNA (tRNA) molecules are approximately 80 nucleotides in length. Lineage: Bacteria; Pseudomonadati; Spirochaetota. The record is from Rfam by way of RNAcentral.
GCCGACGUGGUGGAAUUGGUAGACACGCUAGACUUAGGAUCUAGUGCCGCAAGGUGUAAGAGUUCGAGUCUCUUCGUCGGUA